Molecule: ribosomal RNA, 482 nt
Filed under: uncultured bacterium
Lineage: Bacteria
Description: partial 16S ribosomal RNA
Rfam family: Bacterial small subunit ribosomal RNA
Source: RNAcentral
AUUGAACGCUGGCGGCAUGCCUUACACAUGCAAGUCGAACGGUAACAGGUCUUCGUAUGCUGACGAGUGGCGAACGGGGGAGUAAUACAUCGGAACGUGCCCAGACGUGGGGGAUAACGAGUCGAAAGCUUUGCUAAUACCUCAUACGAUCUAAGGAUGAAAGCAGGGGACCGCAAUGCCUUGUGCGGUUGUAGCGGCCGAUGGCAGAUUAGGUAGUUGGUGGGAUAAAAGCUUACCAAGCCGACGAUCUGUAGCUGGUCUGAGAGGACGACCAGCCACACUGGAACUGAGACACGGCCCAGACUCCUACGGGAGGCAGCAGUGGGGAAUUUUGGACAAUGGGCGAAAGCCUGAUCCAGCAAUGCCGCGUGCAGGAUGAAGGCCUUCGGGUUGUAAACUGCUUUUGUACGGAACGAAAAGGCUCUGGCUAAUACCUGGGGCACAUGACGGUACCGUAAGAAUAAGCACCGGCUAACUACGUG